CCUACGGGGGGCAGCAGUGGGGAAUAUUGCACAAUGGGCGAAAGCCUGAUGCAGCGACGCCGCGUGAGUGAAGAAGUAUUUCGGUAUGUAAAGCUCUAUCAGCAGGGAAGAAAAUGACGGUACCUGACUAAGAAGCCCCGGCUAACUACGUGCCAGCAGCCGCGGUAAUACGUAGGGGGCAAGCGUUAUCCGGAUUUACUGGGUGUAAAGGGAGCGUAGACGGCGAAGCAAGUCUGAAGUGAAAACCCAGGGCUCAACCCUGGGACUGCUUUGGAAACUGUUUUGCUAGAGUGUCGGAGAGGUAAGUGGAAUUCCUAGUGUAGCGGUGAAAUGCGUAGAUAUUAGGAGGAACACCAGUGGCGAAGGCGGCUUACUGGACGAUAACUGACGUUGAGGCUCGAAAGCGUGGGGAGCAAACAGGAUUAGAUACCCUUGUAGUC
Molecule: ribosomal RNA, 440 nt
Filed under: uncultured Lachnospiraceae bacterium
Lineage: Bacteria; Bacillati; Bacillota; Clostridia; Lachnospirales; Lachnospiraceae
Description: bacterial SSU rRNA
Rfam family: Bacterial small subunit ribosomal RNA
Source: RNAcentral